RNAcentral lists this ribosomal RNA (459 nucleotides) under Arcobacter venerupis. Its description in RNAcentral is "bacterial SSU rRNA". It matches the Rfam family "Bacterial small subunit ribosomal RNA", at positions 338 to 795 of the family's 1533-position model. Lineage: Bacteria; Pseudomonadati; Campylobacterota; Epsilonproteobacteria; Campylobacterales; Arcobacteraceae. The record is from RNAcentral.
CCUACGGGGGGCAGCAGUGAGGAAUAUUGGUCAAUGGCCGAGAGGCUGAACCAGCCAAGUAGCGUGCAGGACGACGGCCCUACGGGUUGUAAACUGCUUUUGCGGGAGGAUAAAGUGCACUACGUGUAGUGCUUUGCAGGUAUCCCGUGAAUAAGGACCGGCUAAUUCCGUGCCAGCAGCCGCGGUAAUACGGAAGGUCCGGGCGUUAUCCGGAUUUAUUGGGUUUAAAGGGAGCGCAGGCGGAGGUGCAAGCGUGCCGUGAAAGCGCGGGGCUCAACCCCGUACAGCGGCGCGAACUGCUCCCCUUGGUUGCGGGAAGGGAAGGCGGAACUCGUGGUGUAGCGGUGAAAUGCAUAGAUAUCACGAAGAACUCCGAUCGCGAAGGCAGCCUUCCGGCCCGUCAACGACGCUCAUGCUCGAAGGCGCGGGUAUCAAACAGGAUUAGAUACCCCUGUAGUC